CGUGAAGGAGCCUGUAAAGUUUGACAAUAUAGAAACAAAGUCUGAAGAAAACACUGAAGUUUCUCCAGUCAAGCUAAAAAUUGAAAGUUUUGAUAGAUUGGAGGAAAUUGGUGGUAUGAAAGCUAUUGGAACUGAAAAAAAUGAGAGUCAUGUCAUUCCCUUUUUUGAAGAACAGAGAACUGUUGAUAGUUGUAAAGAUUCUCAACAGAUUAGUUUACCCGAGGCUAGUUUAGUGGCCUCGUCAAUUGAGAAUCCAAGGGAUGCAUCAUUUGCUUCUGCAACCAGUGAAACAAUUGGUGUAAUUAGCAUAUAUCAUGAGAAAAACAGAACUGAAAUAAAUGAUAUAGUUGUAGAUUGCAACAAUGUAAGAGCUAAUGUGGAAAAUGAUAUUGGAACUAAAACAAAAGAUCUCCAACCUAGUGACCUCCUGCAAUUGGAUGGCAAACAAUCAAGGAACUUAGUUAAGAGUGAUGAUGUUGGUGAAAUGGGUAAAAUUGAAAAAUGUGAUAUUACUGAAACCCCAGUUAUUUCCAAGGCCGUAGUUGAUGGAGCUACAAAAAAGGCAAAAGCUCUAGAUUGCACAAAUGGAGGUCCAAUAUUAGUUACCCGGGAAGACAUAAAAGAAGAUGACUCAUAUCAUGCACAAGAUGCAGAACGGCCAGUAAAGGGUGCAGAAAACGUUGCUAGGAAGUCUACAUCGCCUUUAAAUACGGAGCCUUCUGCUCAACAUGUUUCUGCUGUUGAAGAUAAUAGAGAGGGAGGCCCUGGUGGGGAAGCGUCUGGAAUCACUGCUGUGCCUGUACAAGACAGAAAAGAUGAAAUUAGUAGCCAUGUCAAAGUGCAUGAAGAAUAUAGCAGAUCUAUUGAUCCUUCUGGUGACUCAAAUCAGACACAUGAUGCAGAACUGUUGGUGAAGGCUGUAGAAAACCUUGCUGUGAAGUAUACAUCACUUUCUUUAAAUUCUGAGCCUUCUUCUCAGCAUGAUUCUGCUGCUGAAGAUAAUAAAGAUGGGGAGCAAGGCGAAAAAGUGUCUGGAAUUACUAAUGUGCCUGUUCAAGAUCGAAGCGUUAAUAAUUUGGUCAAACAUAGUUCAUCUGGAUUUGAUGCUUCAAUUGACUCCAGUAGCCAGUGUGACAGUUUGGAAGGCAACCAGGGCUCUGUGUCAGGUAUAUUUACACUGUUGUUUGUAAUGGAAAAUAUUUUCAGUUUUUUCACUUUAUUCAAACAUUAUCUGUUCGGGAUAUUGCAUUAUGAUAGGCUGGUCAAUGCAUUAUUGCAUUAUGAUAGGCUGGUCAAUGCCAGCUAAUGUGGUUGGACCAUGUGAAAGAAAAGUUUUCUAUAGACCAAACUGCUAUAAUGAAAAAUUGUUCCUUUUUUCACACCUUUCUUCUUCUUGCUAUGUUAUCAAUUAGAGAUUCGUGAUUCAGACACAUUAACCAUGUCCCAAACUGCUUUUUCAUUUCCAUAAUCUACCUUCUCAGCUAUAAGCCUAUUUGGAAUUGGAUCCCAGAUGUUAAGUGUAUUAUUCAUGAAAAUCUUUCUUUUACAUCAAAUGUCGGAGGCUGUAGUUCAUACUAUUGGGUGAAUUGGUACGUGUUACUGAAAAUUGUAUUCCUAUUCCAUGGCUGAUAAGAAUGGGUUAGAUCUUUUAUGUAUACACUCCUAAGCACCAAAGAGACACAUACAUGCACAUUUAUACAUUAAUAUAGACUCAUGCUAGCUACUAGUACUAUACCUGUGUGCAUCUCUGAAUGUUGCUUAGUGAAAAUUUUGAAUUAAAUUUAGUCAUUGUUCAUGGCUUUUGUAUACUUGCAAAGAUACAUGCCCAUAUCUUUUGUAUAGCAGACAAUAAUUUUAUGGGUAUUGGCUCAACAACACAAAUCCAAAAUUCGUCGAUUUCCCCAAAUGUGUGUUGUUUGCAGCCUCACCCACUUCUCAUUUUCUCUCAUGAUCUCUAUGUUUUUUCUUUUUUAUUUAGCUGACAGCUAGAUUCGUACAAUUCAUGUCGUACCAUCUAGCAUCACUCAUAUUUUACAUGUUUUCCAUCCAUAUUCAAUACCUAUUGGUUUGGUGUGACCCCAUUGAGCGAAAAUGUAUUUGAUUUACCUGUUCAAUAUUCGUUAAACAGUUAUCUCAUUGAAAUCCGAUGCUCCAGCUGUUAUCGAUAAUGAAACUUUAC
This 2179-nucleotide long non-coding RNA is filed under the name Lupinus angustifolius (narrow-leaved blue lupine). RNAcentral describes it as "long non-coding RNA (LANG_LNC003597)". The record is from RNAcentral. Lineage: Eukaryota; Viridiplantae; Streptophyta; Magnoliopsida; Fabales; Fabaceae.